This 495-nucleotide ribosomal RNA is filed under the name uncultured bacterium. RNAcentral's name for it is "partial 16S ribosomal RNA". It matches the Rfam family "Bacterial small subunit ribosomal RNA", at positions 28 to 507 of the family's 1533-position model. The record is from RNAcentral.
GACGAACGCUGGCGGCGUGCCUAAUACAUGCAAGUAGAACGCUGAAGGAGGAGCUUGCUUCUCUGGAUGAGUUGCGAACGGGUGAGUAACGCGUAGGUAACCUGCCUGGUAGCGGGGGAUAACUAUUGGAAACGAUAGCUAAUACCGCAUAAUAGUAGAUGUUGCAUGACAUUUGCUUAAAAGGUGCAAUUGCAUCACUACCAGAUGGACCUGCGUUGUAUUAGCUAGUUGGUGGGGUAACGGCUCACCAAGGCGACGAUACAUAGCCGACCUGAGAGGGUGAUCGGCCACACUGGGACUGAGACACGGCCCAGACUCCUACGGGAGGCAGCAGUAGGGAAUCUUCGGCAAUGGACGGAAGUCUGACCGAGCAACGCCGCGUGAGUGAAGAAGGGUUUCGGAUCGUAAAGCUCUGUUGUAAGAGAAGAACGAGUGUGAGAGUGGAAAGUUCACACUGUGACGGUAUCUGACCAGAAAGGGACGGCUAACUACGUG